CCUACGGGAGGCAGCAGUGGGGAAUCUUGCGCAAUGGGCGGAAGCCUGACGCAGCCAUGCCGCGUGAAUGAUGAAGGUCUUAGGAUUGUAAAAUUCUUUCACCGGGGACGAUAAUGACGGUACCCCGGAGAAGAAGCCCCGGCUAACUUCGUGCCAGCAGCCGCGGUAAUACGAAGGGGGGCUAGCGUUGCUCGGAAUUACUGGGCGUAAAGGGAGCGUAGGCGGAUAGUUUAGUCAGAGGUGAAAGCCCAGGGCUCAACCUUGGAAUUGCCUUUGAUACUGGCUAUCUUGAGUAUGGGAGAGGUUAGCGGAACUCCGAGUGUAGAGGUGAAAUUCGUAGAUAUUCGGAAGAACACCAGUGGCGAAGGCGGCUAACUGGCCCAUUACUGACGCUGAGGCUCGAAAGCGUGGGGAGCAAACAGGAUUAGAUACCCUGGUAGUCCACGCCGUAAACGAUGAGUGCUAGUUGUCGGCAUGCAUGCAUGUCGGUGGUACGCGAGCGUACGACAUUAAGUACACCUCCGCCGUCGGGGAGGUACGGUCGGCGAAGAAUUAAACUAACAAAUAGAAGUUAGUACGGCGUGAGACGUGCCGACGGACGACCGACGAGGGAGGAGG
This 618-nucleotide ribosomal RNA is filed under the name uncultured bacterium. RNAcentral describes it as "bacterial SSU rRNA". The stretch from base 1 to 523 matches the Rfam family "Bacterial small subunit ribosomal RNA", at positions 338 to 873 of the family's 1533-position model. The record is from RNAcentral.